CCAAUGGGGGAACGCAGCGCCGCCGGCUGGGGCGCCUCCGGGGCGGGGGCAGGAACACAAAGGGGUCUGUGGUGAAGCCCCGGGUAGAGGCGAGGCUGCGGGGCACCAGGCCCCGGGCGGCCGAGGCUCCUCCCUCCUCGUCUGCCGCCGACGCGAGGCCGAAGACGUAGGCCUCGCGCCGCGUGGCCGCCUCCGGAGCCCCGCCCCCCUGUCGGCGCCGGCCUUGCUCCGCCGCGGACCUCCCGCCCCUUCGCCGGCGCCGCAGAGCCCCCGAUCCCCCCUCGCGCCGCUGCCGCCGGCGUGAGCCCCGCCACGCCCCCGCCACGCGGUCGGGCCUCCCGCUAGGUCGCCUUUUGCGCGGUAGAGCCGGAGUUAAGGAUGUUGGGCUCGUCGUUUUGCUGGAGAAUUUCGGGUAGAAAAUCACCCUUCGGGACGAUCGGAAAACUGCACCCCCGCCUCCCUGGCUGCCUUCCGUGCCUCGCUAGGGCCGCUCCGAGCGUGAGGGGAAUCGCGAAAGUGGCCGUUGCUCCAGAGCAGCGGCGCCCACAAAUGACAGAGCAGGGACCUCUUUUCCACAGGAUGAAGAAACUCAGGCCCGAGUCAAAGCUGAGACAAACUCUGGCGUAACUCCAAACACCAAUCUCUUAAUCAUCAUGCUACACAGCUAGAAGGGGAAGAAUUGAUUUGUGAAAAUUAGUAAAAGGAAAUCUCAUUUGAAAUGGACUCAGCAGGCCAGAAGGGGGAGCUCCUGUGCAGUACCACUCCAGAUCAAUUACAGGAAAGAUAGUCAAUUACAGACCCCAACAGAAAGAAGUCAUUAACAGGAAGACAGUCAGUUAUAGACGCCAACAGAAAGAAGUCAACAGAGACGAAUCAUCAGUUACAGGAAGAAAUGUACAUUGCAUCCCAAGCAGAAAUCCGCUACCCCAGUAACUAAGCCAAUGAGAACCUAUCACCCUAAACUCUCACUUUCCUCCAAUGGACUUUCCUUCAAAACAACCCCUCCCAACUUCCUCCUUUUUCCCUGUAAAAUAAUGUUUCUCUCCCUCAUUUGUUGGAUUUGCCUAUAGUCUGCCAUAGCAUGCAUAUCCUGAAUUGCAAUUCUUUAGGUAUUGCCAAAUAAACACUUUUUCCUAGUAAACUAA
Molecule: long non-coding RNA, 1145 nt
Organism: Equus caballus (horse)
Lineage: Eukaryota; Metazoa; Chordata; Mammalia; Perissodactyla; Equidae
Source: RefSeq, a predicted model, not a curated record